GUGUUGCCAUCGAAUAAAAGUACGAAGGCGACAAGAUGGAACUACGACGGCAAUAAAUCCAGCUAAAUGUAAGUUAAUUUUCGCGUUAAAAUACAUUUAAAGUGCCAUGCGCGAUAUGCACUGGUCAGUCUAAUAUGACAGUUAAGAAAGACGUUCACAAAACAUGGAGCUCAUAUCAUAUGAUUCUAUGAGAAAGGCGACAGCGUUGUUUCUAUUAAUUCAAAUGGAACAAGAAGAGC
Molecule: long non-coding RNA, 239 nt
Filed under: Mytilus galloprovincialis (Mediterranean mussel)
Lineage: Eukaryota; Metazoa; Mollusca; Bivalvia; Mytilida; Mytilidae
Source: RNAcentral